GAACGCACCUUGCGCCCUUUGGCCAUUCCGAAGGGCAUGCCUGUUUGAGUAUCAUGAACACCUCAACUCUCAUGGCUCGCCAUGAUGAGCUUGGAUUUGGGGGUCUUGCUGGCCUGUGGUCAGCUCCUCUCAAAUGGAUCAGCUUGCCAGUGUUUGGUGGCAUCACAGGUGUGAUAACUAUCUGCGCUUGUGGUUUUCCAUCAGAUAACCUUCAGUGAUGGAGGUUCGCUGGAGCUCAUAAAAGUCUUCCCUAAGCGGGGACAGCCCUUUGAAUGUUUGAUCUCAAAUCAGGUAGGUCUACCCGCUGAACUUA
This 313-nucleotide unclassified non-coding RNA is filed under the name uncultured Tomentella. Its description in RNAcentral is "sequence contains 5.8S rRNA gene". Lineage: Eukaryota; Fungi; Basidiomycota; Agaricomycetes; Thelephorales; Thelephoraceae. The record is from RNAcentral.